UGCGCGGCGGCAGAGGCCGGUACUGGGGGCGAGAGAGAGAGGGAGAGAGGGAACGAGAGAGGGAACGGGGCUGCGCGGAGGCGAGGGGCUGGGGGCGGCGCUGGGGCUGGGGCUCGCGGCGGACGGCGGAGGCUCACUGCCGGCUGGCCGGGCUCGCGGUGGGGACUAGGGUGGGGAAGAGAGACGGGAAAGAGAGAGCAACAGUGGGAGAGGGAGUUUGAGGGAGAGAAAUGAGGUGGUGGCGGCGGCAGUGGGAGAGAGUUAGGGAGUGGGUGGGGAUUAGGGUUAGCCUAGGGGUUUUUAUAGCCUAAGGAUUUGGUUGGGCCUUAGAUGGGUUGGCCGGCCGUAGAAAAGGCAUCAGUGGCGGGCAUGAAUUUAUAGCCCGUCACUGAUGAGGCCAUGCAAGAUAUUUUUUUCUAUUUUUCUGUUUCAUAUAAUAUAUAAAUAUUUUGUAUAACUCAAUUGGUCUACAAGUUUAUAAUAAUGUUCAAGGUUUGUGUGAAAAUUGGAUAAAGGCCAUUUGGAGCCAUAUUAAGUGUACUUGCUUCACAAAAUACCUCA
Molecule: long non-coding RNA, 561 nt
Filed under: Brachypodium distachyon (stiff brome)
Lineage: Eukaryota; Viridiplantae; Streptophyta; Magnoliopsida; Poales; Poaceae
Description: long non-coding RNA (BDIS_LNC000780)
Source: RNAcentral